AGUGAACGCUGGCGGUAUGCCUAACACAUGCAAGUCGAACGGCAGCACAGUAAGAGCUUGCUCUUACGGGUGGCGAGUGGCGGACGGGUGAGGAAUACAUCGGAAUCUACUUUUUCGUGGGGGAUAACGUAGGGAAACUUACGCUAAUACCGCAUACGACCUACGGGUGAAAGCAGGGGAUCUUCGGACCUUGCGCGAUUGAAUGAGCCGAUGUCGGAUUAGCUAGUUGGCGGGGUAAAGGCCCACCAAGGCGACGAUCCGUAGCUGGUCUGAGAGGAUGAUCAGCCACACUGGAACUGAGAAACGGUACAGACUCCUACGGGAGGAAGCAGUGGGGAAUAUUGGACAAUGGGCGCAAGCCUGAUCCAGCCAUACCGCGUGGGUGAAGAAGGACUUCGGGUUGUAAAGCCCUUUUGUUGGGAAAGAAAAGCAGCAGGUUAAUACCCCGCUGUUCUGACGGUACCCAAAGAAUAAGCACCGGCUAACUUCGUG
RNAcentral lists this ribosomal RNA (492 nucleotides) under uncultured bacterium. RNAcentral describes it as "partial 16S ribosomal RNA". It matches the Rfam family "Bacterial small subunit ribosomal RNA", at positions 29 to 507 of the family's 1533-position model. The record is from RNAcentral.